RNAcentral lists this ribosomal RNA (371 nucleotides) under uncultured organism. Its description in RNAcentral is "bacterial SSU rRNA". It matches the Rfam family "Bacterial small subunit ribosomal RNA", at positions 526 to 896 of the family's 1533-position model. The record is from RNAcentral.
CAGAGGGUGCGAGCGUUAAUCGGAAUUACUGGGCGUAAAGCGUGCGUAGACGGUUGCGUAAGUCAGAUGUGAAAGCCCCGGGCUCAACCUGGGAAUUGCAUUUGAGACUGCGUAGCUAGGGUGCGGAAGAGGGAAGCGGAAUUUCCGGUGUAGCGGUGAAAUGCGUAGAUAUCGGAAGGAACACCAGUGGCGAAAGCGGCUUCCUGGUCCAGCACCGACGUUCAGGCACGAAAGCGUGGGGAGCAAACAGGAUUAGAUACCCUGGUAGUCCACGCCAUAAACGAUGAGGACUAGACGUUGAGAGGGUAAGCCUCCCAGUGUCGCAGCUAACGCGAUAAGUCCUCCGCCUGGGGAGUACGGCCGCAAGGUUG